Molecule: small nuclear RNA, 105 nt
Organism: Phyllostomus discolor (pale spear-nosed bat)
Lineage: Eukaryota; Metazoa; Chordata; Mammalia; Chiroptera; Phyllostomidae
Source: RefSeq, a predicted model, not a curated record
GUGCUCCAUUUGGCAGUAUAUAUACUAGAACUGAAAUAAUAGAGAAGAACAGCAUUCCUUCUACACAAGGAUGACAGACAUACUUGUAAAAUUUCCCACUCUACC